This 77-nucleotide transfer RNA is filed under the name Actinomycetes bacterium. Its description in RNAcentral is "Actinobacteria bacterium tRNA-Glu". It matches the Rfam family "tRNA". From Rfam's summary of the family: Transfer RNA (tRNA) molecules are approximately 80 nucleotides in length. Their secondary structure includes four short double-helical elements and three loops (D, anti-codon, and T loops). Lineage: Bacteria; Bacillati; Actinomycetota; Actinomycetes. The record is from RNAcentral.
GCCCCCAUGGUGUAACGGUUAGCACGUCGCCCUUUCAAGGCGGAGGUGAGUGGGUUCGAUUCCCCCUGGGGGUACUA